CGUAUACGGUGGAUGCCUUGGCAGUUAGAGGCGAUGAAGGACGUGUAAGUCUGCGAAAAGCUGUGGUGAGCCGACAAAAUGCAUUUGAGCCACAGAUGUCCGAAUGGGGAAACCCACCUAUUUAUAGGUAUCGUUAACUGAAUACAUAGGUUAACGAGGCAAACGAGGGGAACUGAAACAUCUAAGUACCCUUAGGAAAAGAAAUCAACCGAGAUUCCCCUAGUAGCGGCGAGCGAACGGGGAGCAGCCCUUAAGCUGUUUAGAAUUUAGUGGAAUCCUUUGGGAAGAGGAGCGAUACAAGGUGAUAGCCCUGUACACGACGGAUUCUUUACAGUGAAAUCGAGUAGGUCGGGACACGUGUUAUCUUGACUGAAUAUGGGGGGACCAUCCUCCAAGGCUAAAUACUCCUAACUGACCGAUAGUGAACCAGUACCGUGAGGGAAAGGCGAAAAGAACCCCUGUGAGGGGAGUGAAAUAGAACCUGAAACCGUAUACGUACAAGCAGUGGGAGCCCUUCGGGGUGACUGCGUACCUUUUGUAUAAUGGGUCAGCGACUUAUAUUUAGUAGCAAGGUUAAGCGAAUAGCGGAGCCGUAGCGAAAGCGAGUGUUAACUGCGCGUUUAGUUGCUAGGUAUAGACCCGAAACCCGGUGAUCUAGCCAUGAGCAGGUUGAAGGUUGAGUAACAUCAACUGGAGGACCGAACCCACUAACUUUGAAAAGUUAGGGGAUGACUUGUGGCUGGGGGUGAAAGGCCAAUCAAACCGGGAGAUAGCUGGUUCUCCCCGAAAUCUAUUUAGGUAGAGCCUCGGACGAAUUCCAUUGGGGGUAGAGCACUGUUAAGGCUAGGGGGUCAUCCCGACUUACCAACCCUUUGCAAACUCCGAAUACCAAUGAGAACUAUCCGGGAGACACACGGCGGGUGCUAACGUCCGUCGUGGAGAGGGAAACAACCCAGACCGCCAGCUAAGGUCCCAAAAUAUUGCUAAGUGGGAAACGAUGUGGGAAGGCAUAGACAGCUAGGAGGUUGGCUUAGAAGCAGCCACCCUUUAAAGAAAGCGUAAUAGCUCACUAGUCGAGUCGGCCUGCGCGGAAGAUGUAACGGGGCUAAGCAAUAUACCGAAGCUGCGGCAGCAUGUUUACAUGCUGGGUAGGGGAGCGUUGUGUAAGUGGAUGAAGGUGAGUUGUAAAGCUUGCUGGACAUAUCACAAGUGCGAAUGCUGACAUGAGUAACGAUAAUGGGAGUGAAAAACUCCCACGCCGGAAGACCAAGGUUUCCUGUCCCAUGCUAAUCAGGGCAGGGUAAGUCGGCCCCUAAGGCGAGGCAGAAAUGCGUAGUCGAUGGGAAACGGGUUAAUAUUCCCGUACUUAUAUAAUCAGUGAUGGAGGGACGGAGAAGGCUAGGCAAGCUUGGCGUUGGUUGUCCAAGUGAAAGUGAGUAGGCUGAAGACUUAGGUAAAUCCGGGUUUUCAAGGCCGAGACACGAGACGAGCUCCCAAGGGAGUGAAGUUGUUGAUGCCCUGCUUCCAGGAAAAGCUUCUAAACUUAUGAUUAUAUGAACCGUACCCCAAACCGACACAGGUGGUCAGGUAGAGAAUACUAAGGCGCUUGAGAGAACUCGGGUGAAGGAACUCGGCAAAAUUGUACCGUAACUUCGGGAGAAGGUACGCCUCUGUUUGUGAACACUUCGCGUGGUAAGCAAAUGGAGGCCGCAGUGACCAGGUGGCUGGGACUGUUUAUUAAAAACACAGCACUCUGCAAACUCGUAA
Molecule: ribosomal RNA, 1767 nt
Filed under: Percolomonas cosmopolitus
Lineage: Eukaryota; Heterolobosea; Eutetramitea; Percolomonadida; Percolomonadidae
Description: partial Bacterial large subunit ribosomal RNA
Rfam family: Bacterial large subunit ribosomal RNA
Source: RNAcentral